AAUUACAACUUUCAACAACGGAUCUCUUGGUUCUGGCAUCGAUGAAGAACGCAGCGAAAUGCGAUAAGUAGUGUGAAUUGCAGAAUUCAGUGAAUCAUCGAAUCUUUGAACGCACAUUGCGCCCUUUGGUAUUCCAAAGGGCAUGCCUGUUCGAGCG
Molecule: ribosomal RNA, 157 nt
Filed under: Alternaria tenuissima
Lineage: Eukaryota; Fungi; Ascomycota; Dothideomycetes; Pleosporales; Pleosporaceae
Description: 5.8S ribosomal RNA
Rfam family: 5.8S ribosomal RNA
About the family: 5.8S ribosomal RNA (5.8S rRNA) is a component of the large subunit of the eukaryotic ribosome.
Source: RNAcentral